RNAcentral lists this ribosomal RNA (524 nucleotides) under uncultured bacterium. RNAcentral describes it as "partial 16S ribosomal RNA". It matches the Rfam family "Bacterial small subunit ribosomal RNA", at positions 28 to 523 of the family's 1533-position model. The record is from RNAcentral.
GACGAACGCUGGCGGCGUGCCUAAUACAUGCAAGUCGAACGAAGCUGUUUUAACUGGUGCUUGCACCGACUUAAACAACUGAGUGGCGAACGGGUGAGUAACACGUGGGUAACCUGCCCCAAAGCGGGGGAUAACAUUUGGAAACAGAUGCUAAUACCGCAUAACCACAGAAACAACAUGGUUCCUGUUUCAAAGAUGGGUUCGGCUAUCACUUUGGGAUGGACCUGGGGCGUAUUAGCUAGUUGGUAAGGUAAUGGAUUACCAAGGCAAUGAUACGUAGCCGAACUGAGAGGUUGAUCGGCCACAUUGGGACUGAGACACGGCCCAAACUCCUACGGGAGGCAGCAGUAGGGAAUCUUCCACAAUGGACGAAAGUCUGAUGGAGCAACGCCGCGUGAGUGAAGAAGGUUUUCGGAUCGUAAAACUCUGUUGUCAGAGAAGAACGUGUGCGAGAGUAACUGCUCGUGCAGUGACGGUAUCUGGCCAGAAAGCCACGGCUAACUACGUGCCAGCCGCCGCCGUAA